GACAGAGGGUGCAAACGUUGUUCGGAAUUACUGGGCGUAAAGCGCGUGUAGGCUGUUCUGCAAGUCGGAUGUGAAAGCCCCGGGCUCAACCUGGGAAGUGCAUUCGAAACUGCAGAACUUGAGUCCUGGAGAGGAAGGCGGAAUUCUCGGUGUAGAGGUGAAAUUCGUAGAUAUCGAGAGGAACACCGGUGGCGAAGGCGGCCUUCUGGACAGUGACUGACGCUGAGACGCGAAAGCGUGGGGAGCAAACAGG
Molecule: ribosomal RNA, 253 nt
Filed under: uncultured bacterium
Lineage: Bacteria
Description: partial 16S ribosomal RNA
Rfam family: Bacterial small subunit ribosomal RNA
Source: RNAcentral